ACAUUGGUGGUUCAGUGGGAGAAUUCUUGCCUUCGGUGCUGGAGACCUGGGUUUGAUUCCCAGCCGGUGCA
RNAcentral lists this transfer RNA (71 nucleotides) under Loxodonta africana (African savanna elephant). Its description in RNAcentral is "tRNA-Arg (TCG) (tRNA-Arg-TCG-10-1)". It matches the Rfam family "tRNA". Rfam says of the family: Transfer RNA (tRNA) molecules are approximately 80 nucleotides in length. Their secondary structure includes four short double-helical elements and three loops (D, anti-codon, and T loops). The record is from Rfam by way of RNAcentral. Lineage: Eukaryota; Metazoa; Chordata; Mammalia; Proboscidea; Elephantidae.